Molecule: long non-coding RNA, 286 nt
Filed under: Elaeis guineensis (African oil palm)
Lineage: Eukaryota; Viridiplantae; Streptophyta; Magnoliopsida; Arecales; Arecaceae
Description: long non-coding RNA (EGUI_LNC014920)
Source: RNAcentral
UCAUGAUGCAUCUGGAUGAGCCCAAUGAAUCUUCUGUCAUGAUGCAUGCAAUAACACUAGCAACCAUGGCGUCUUUUCUCUAUCAACGUUAGCAGGAUCAGCGGUAACAUCAAAUACAAAAGGAUACUGUCUUCAUCCACAUAAAAUACUAGAUAGUUUUCUUGUCUUUGAAUAUUUAUGCAGUUGAAUUAGGAAAAAUCAUAGAAAGGGAAAAAUAAUUUUUUUAAAAGGAACUCCCAGUCCUAAAUCUGAUAAAACCAAGAAAAGCUAAUUGCUCCACAAGGUG